GGCAGCUCAAAAUAGUCUGUUUGGCAAAUGAGCUCAACUGGAAGCUGACCGGCUGGAGGAUCCGGGAGCAGCUGAGGAACUCCCAAGUAUCACUGCAGGGCCCGAGGGGAGGCUGAGCGCAGAACCCAAGGCCAAGGCCAGUCUGGGGCUGUUACAGCUGCUUGGGCCCAAGGUCCCAAGGAGCUGGGAAGGGGGCCAGGGCUUCCACACAGGCGCUGGCCAACUGCACCUCCUCAAGCCCGCUCCCAGGUGCAGGAGGAGGCUGAUCCCAAAAUGCCAGGAGAUGGUCAGGCCUCGAAGUACACACCAACUACACUUAAAACAAACACUAUUCCUUAGGGGACUUUUCACGCCAGGCAGUUUUCUGCUGAGAUGCUGGAUUCAUGACCAAAAAAGGGCUGAUGUUUAUUUUUAGAGCCAAAAAAAAAAAAAAAAAGCCUAUCCAGUGCCUCUCAGAGGGCUUGGAUCAUGUGGCCCACCCGGCAGCUCCCAUCACUCUUGGGAGCUGAACUGAGAGGAGUACCUGCAUGUGCACGAAAAGGGCCCAAAGGCUCCAAUGCCCUCACCGACUGGUCCAGCCCUCUCAUGCUACUAGCCCCGAUCCCGACCCCCAGUGGGGGCGAGGACUGUGGGCUGGAGGAGUCAGGUCCACCGGCAGCACGGCCAUGUCUCCCCAGACGUCCCUCUCUCCCGGCCUGCCUGGCAGCUCCUGCGGUCUGCGUCUAUGUACCUGGGAAGGGAGGGGCAAGGAGGCCGCCUAGGAGGUACUUUCCCUGUGCGACUUUAGAAGAGGCCAAAGAAGUUGGGAAGAUGCCCAACAGACAACAGUGGGAACGAUGGAAACAGAGAGGACUCCAGGGGGCUGUGAGUCAGCUGUGGCUGGUGGGCGACCCUGGCCAACAGAGCCGCGUGAGCCACCAGAGAAGGCAGGCUGAGGGACAGCCCCAGGGAGCCCUGGGCCCAGCUGGCCUCGCCUCUAAAGCCUCGCUCCUCACUUGGGGAGACUCUAGAUGUCACAAUGUUCUUCCUGAGGCUGAGUUGAGUGAGAUCUUCCCUGGGCUAACAUCAUCGGAAGGUCCAGGAGGGAAGCAGUUAGGAUCCAGAGUCCCCCCGAAAGACGGAGGGGUGGAGAGAAAACGCGUCUGUGACGGGGCCUUGCACACGGAGCACCGCAUGAAUGUGUGUGCAGGGGGAUUGUCAUCACCCUCUGGGAGAUGCCACCCACUCAGAGGACCCCAGACGACCAGGGAGGCUGGGCAGAACAGCCAGGCAGUCUUUACACAGGAGGCCCGGGCGGGCGGGCGGCCAGGCAGGCAGCCUUCCCGGAGGCGGGACUAG
Molecule: long non-coding RNA, 1338 nt
Filed under: Capra hircus (goat)
Lineage: Eukaryota; Metazoa; Chordata; Mammalia; Artiodactyla; Bovidae
Description: lncRNA (ENSCHIG00010004742.1)
Source: RNAcentral